This 278-nucleotide ribosomal RNA is filed under the name uncultured prokaryote. Its description in RNAcentral is "partial 16S ribosomal RNA". It matches the Rfam family "Bacterial small subunit ribosomal RNA", at positions 524 to 801 of the family's 1533-position model. The record is from RNAcentral.
UACGUAGGGGGCUAGCGUUAUCCGGAAUUACUGGGCGUAAAGCGCGCGUAGGUGGUUCGUUAAGUUAGGAGUGAAAGCCCCGGGCUCAACCUGGGAAUUGCUUCUAAAACUGGCGAGCUAGAGUAUGGUAGAGGGUGGUGGAAUUUCCUGUGUAGCGGUGAAAUGCGUAGAUAUAGGAAGGAACAUCAGUGGCGAAGGCGGGUAACUGGACUGCAACUGACGCUGAGGCGCGAAAGUGUGGGGAGCAAACAGGAUUAGAUACCCUGGUAGUCCCUGAG